CAGCAGCCACGGGAAUACGAGGGGGGCAAGCGUUGUUCGGAAUUAUUGGGCGUAAAGGGCGCGUAGGCGGUUUGACAAGUCUCAUGUGAAAUCUUCGGGCUCAACUCGAAGUCUGCAUGGGAAACUGUCGGGCUUGAGUAUGGGAGAGGUGAGUGGAAUUUCCGGUGUAGCGGUGAAAUGCGUAGAUAUCGGAAGGAACACCUGUGGCGAAAGCGGCUCACUGGACCAUAACUGACGCUGAGGCGCGAAAGCUAGGGGAGCAAACAGGAUUAGAUACCCCCGUAGUCCCUGUCUCUUAUAC
Molecule: ribosomal RNA, 301 nt
Filed under: uncultured bacterium
Lineage: Bacteria
Description: partial 16S ribosomal RNA
Rfam family: Bacterial small subunit ribosomal RNA
Source: RNAcentral